ACAUCCAGCGAACUUGGCAGAGAUGCCUUGGUGCCUUCGGGAACGCUGAGACAGGUGCUGCAUGGCUGUCGUCAGCUCGUGUUGUGAAAUGUUGGGUUAAGUCCCGCAACGAGCGCAACCCUUUAUCCUUUGUUGCCAGCGAUUCGGUCGGGAACUCAAAGGAGACUGCCGGUGAUAAACCGGAGGAAGGUGGGGAUGACGUCAAGUCAUCAUGGCCCUUACGAGUAGGGCUACACACGUGCUACAAUGGCGCAUACAAAGAGAAGCGACCUCGCGAGAGCAAGCGGACCUCAUAAAGUGCGUCGUAGUCCGGAUCGGAGUCUGCAACUCGACUCCGUGAAGUCGGAAUCGCUAGUAAUCGUGGAUCAGAAUGCCACGGUGAAUACGUUCCCGGGCCUUGUACACACCGCCCGUCACACCAUGGGAGUGGGUUGCAAAAGAAGUAGGUAGCUUAACCUCCGGGAGGGCGCUUACCACUUUGUGAUUCAUGACUGGGGUGAAGUCGUAACAAGGUAGGCGUAGCGAG
RNAcentral lists this ribosomal RNA (526 nucleotides) under uncultured bacterium. RNAcentral's name for it is "bacterial SSU rRNA". It matches the Rfam family "Bacterial small subunit ribosomal RNA", at positions 984 to 1509 of the family's 1533-position model. The record is from RNAcentral.